Molecule: long non-coding RNA, 210 nt
Filed under: Elaeis guineensis (African oil palm)
Lineage: Eukaryota; Viridiplantae; Streptophyta; Magnoliopsida; Arecales; Arecaceae
Description: long non-coding RNA (EGUI_LNC062139)
Source: RNAcentral
UAGGUGUCCAAUCUAUGUCCAGCCUUAGGUGUCCAAUCUUAGUGUUGUCCAACCAGUGUCCAAAUCCAACCUUAGUGUUGUCUGAUCAGUGUCCAACCCAUAGGUAUUACCCAUAGUGUCUAACCUUAGAAACUAGUCAGACCAGUUGUAGGUCUCACCAUCCACCCAUAGUGUCUGAGUCUAGAGACCAACCUUAGGUUCCACCAGUCC